Long non-coding RNA from Oncorhynchus tshawytscha (Chinook salmon), 417 nucleotides. Lineage: Eukaryota; Metazoa; Chordata; Actinopteri; Salmoniformes; Salmonidae. The record is from Ensembl.
UUUAUUCUUAACUGACUUGCCUAGUUAAAGAAAGGUUAAAUAAAAUAAAUAAAAAGCAUGCUUCUUCUGUUCCGCAGACAUAUCAAAAGAUCUGAAUACGACCAGCUCUUGUGACUCUCACUGAUGCAACCUCUCUCCUCGUGACUUCAAACGGAACCUCCAGCUGGCUCAUUCUCACUCUCAUCUUCACCCGACCACCAUCAGUUUCAAACAGAACAUCUGUUUUCCGCCAUCUUCCUCUCCACCUCUCGUCUUCUUCUGCCACAAUGAAUCUGUGUCCAUGCCAGAUAGUUGCUUAAGUAUCCCCGCCGAUACCUGGAAGUUACCAAAGCAGUGUUGGAAAAAGUACCUAAUUGUUAUACUUGAAUAAAAAUAAAGGGACCUUAAUAGAAAAUGACUGAAGUAAAAGUGAAAGUC